GUGCCAGCCGCCGCGGUAAUACGGAGGGGGCUAGCGUUGUUCGGAAUUACUGGGCGUAAAGGGCGCGUAGGCGGGCGCAUAAGUCGGGGGUGAAAUCCCGGGGCUCAACCCCGGAACUGCCUCCGAUACUGUGUGCCUUGAGGACGGGAGAGGUGAGUGGAAUUCCGAGUGUAGAGGUGAAAUUCGUAGAUAUUCGGAGGAACACCGGUGGCGAAGGCGGCUCACUGGCCCGAUCCUGACGCUGAGGCGCGAAAGCGUGGGGAGCAAACAGGAUUAGAUACCCUGGUAGUCCACGCCCUAAACGAUGAGUGCCAGUUGUUGGCGGGCAUGCCCGUCAGUGACGCAGCUAACGCUUUGAGCACUCCGCCUGGGGAGUACGGCCGCAAGGUUAAAACUUAAAUGAAUUGACGGGG
This 413-nucleotide ribosomal RNA is filed under the name uncultured prokaryote. RNAcentral describes it as "bacterial SSU rRNA". It matches the Rfam family "Bacterial small subunit ribosomal RNA", at positions 505 to 918 of the family's 1533-position model. The record is from RNAcentral.